UGCGGUUACUUUCACUCGGAUCGUUCGGCACGUACCUGCCGAUGAAAGGUUUGCAU
Corynebacterium sp. ATCC 6931 is the source of this 56-nucleotide regulatory RNA element. It matches the Rfam family "msiK RNA". NCBI's taxonomy places the organism in Bacteria, Bacillati, Actinomycetota, Actinomycetes, Mycobacteriales, Corynebacteriaceae. The record is from Rfam.